UAAGGAAUAUUGGACAAUGGGCGCAAGCCUGAUCCAGCAAUGCCGCGUGCAGGAUGAAGGCCUUCGGGUUGUAAACUGCUUUUGUACGGAGCGAAAAGGUCUGCCCCAAUACGGUGGGCUCAUGACGGUACCGUAAGAAUAAGCACCGGCUAACUACGUGCCAGCAGCCGCGGUAAUACGUAGGGUGCGAGCGUUAAUCGGAAUUACUGGGCGUAAAGCGUGCGCAGGCGGUUAUAUAAGACAGAUGUGAAAUCCCCGGGCUCAACCUGGGACCUGCAUUUGUGACUGUAUAGCUAGGGUACGGUAGAGGGGGAUGGAAUUCCGCGUGUAGCAGUGAAAUGCGUAGAUAUGCGGAGGAACACCGAUGGCGAAGGCAGUCCCCUGGACCUGUACUGACGCUCAUGCACGAAAGCGUGGGGAGCAAACA
This 427-nucleotide ribosomal RNA is filed under the name uncultured bacterium. Its description in RNAcentral is "bacterial SSU rRNA". It matches the Rfam family "Bacterial small subunit ribosomal RNA", at positions 355 to 774 of the family's 1533-position model. The record is from RNAcentral.